UAAUCAGCAAAGCCAAAGAAAAUGAGAUUUUUUUUUUUUUUUUCUCCAGCAGAGAUGAGAUAGAGCUGGACCUGAUUCCUAUCAGAGCCAACUUGCCCCAUUAACACUGCCCAGCUCCUCCAGGUCUCCCCAUCUCCUGUGGGAAACUGGAUGAGGAAGAACAAAGGGUAUGGGGGAACAGCAGGAUUAUCCAUGGGUUUUCCAAGUGAAAUGGCAGUGCUGAGUUCGUGGGGAUAAAAAUUACCUGCUCCAUCCUGUCUGCUUUCUGGUGCCUCGCUUGCAAACCCUCAGUGCUGGAAAAACCCUCCCCACCCAGGCGGGGCAGCCGAGGGCAGGGAAGCUGCUCAUUAACCGGAGCCAGCAGCCGGUGGGAGUGGGGGAAUGAGGCUGCUCCCUUUCCCUUUCUGUUCCUUCCUUCUCCCCAUUCCCAUCAGAUUCCCAUCCCUGUGCUUGUUCCUGUCCCCAUACCCAUCCCUGUCACCAUUCUCAUCCCCUUCUCCAUGCUCAUCCCUGUCCUUAGGUUUGUCUCUGUCCCUAUUCCCAUCCCUAUCCUCAUUCCCAUUUCCAUCCCUAUUCCUUUUCCCAUCUCUAUCCCAAUCCCUAUUCCUGUUCCUAUCCCCAAUCCCUAUUCCUUUUUAUUUGUUUUCCCAUCUCUAUCCCAAUCCCUUUGCCUGUUCUUAUCCCCAACCUCUAUUCCUUUUCCCAUCUCUAUCCCAAUCUCUGUACCUGCUCCUAUCCCCAAUGCCUAUUCCUUUUUAUUUCUUUUCCCAUCUCUAUCCCAAUCCCUGUACCUGUUCCUAUCCCCAAUCCCUAUUCCUUUUUACUCCUUUUCCCAUCUCUAUUCCAAUCCCUAUACCUGUUCCUAUCCCCAAUCUCUAUUCCUUUUCCCAUCUCCAUUUCCACCUUCAUUCCUGUAACCAUUCCCAUCCCUUUCCCAGUGGAGGACAGACCCUCUCCUGUAGUUUUUUUUAGCCAGCCCUGGUUUUUUAUCAGGAUUUCAGUUAAAUUCCAAAUUUCUAGCUAAAUUACAGCUUUUCUUAGUGAGGACAAAGCUGGUCCACGUGCAGGGCUCAGCCAAGCUGUGGAACUUCCCUAAGGGUUAAAACUCUGGGAAGCAGAGAUGGAUGAUCCUGAUCUGGUGGGUGACAUCCCUGCCCUUCCCACCCAAACCAUCCUGGGAUUCCAUGAGUCUAUGAAGAGCACGGAUAUGGAGCAAAACCAGCCCUGGGGACAGUUUGCAAACCACCAAGAAUUCCUUCAGUUCCCUGCAAUCCUCAGCACGCUUCCCCCUCUGCUAAUAACUCAUUGGGAUGUCACAAUAACAGCCUGCACCCUUCCUGUGUCACGGGGCACGCCAGCUGCUCUGCCAGGGGAAAAAAUAACUUCAAUCCUUACAUUUUAGGGCUAAAAUUGAGUCUCAGUAGGGAAGAGGCUGGGAUGGAUCCUGGAUUUUCUGCUGGGAGCAGCGUGAGUCCCCCCUGCCACCCACUGCAUGGACAGGGGAGAAGAGCUGAGCCUCUCUGCAGGAUGGUUUUGGAAGUGGGUGAUGGGGAUAUUUAUGGGAUGGAGGUCCCCAAAGUUUGCUUUGCAGGAAAGAUGGGGGAGAGGCCUUGCUGUGAAGGGAAGGGAAGAGAGGAGGAGGAAAUGCAAACUAAUUAACUAAUAAAUAUGCUGGGUUGGCUGGGGCAGCAGGAGAGCAAUCCAGAGGGCUGACUCACUGUGACUCAGGCACAGAGGAGUGGGAUGGAAUCUGGCUCAGGAGCAUCUCCAGCCUUAGCCAGGCUGCCAGGACACAGGGACUGAUCCCAAACCUGCCAGGGCAGAGCAUCCCAUGGGGACCUUCUUCAUGUGGGCUUUGCUUGCUUUGGAGAAAUCACUCUCUAGAGGGGAACAAAGCUUAAUUCACCAGCUGGAGCAAGCAGCUGAAAUGGAGUCAGGCUUUUAGGAUGCAAUUCCCUGUGUCUCCAUUUCCACCUUAAAACCAGGCCAAUGCAGGACAGGUGGGAAAUGCCCUUCCACACAGCCAAAGCAGCUGUGGCUGUGGGAGGAGGUGAUGUUGUCACCAGUGCUGGGAUCCCAAAGCCAUCAAAAAUGUCCAGAGCCAGCAGGAUGACCAAAGGGAUCAUGGAGUCAUGGAAUGCCAGAAUGGUUUGGGUUGGAAGGGACUUUAAAAAACAUCCUGUUCCACCCCCUGCCAUGGCAGGGACACCUUCCACUGUCCCAGGUUGCUCCAAGCUCAAUAUCCAGCCUGGCCUUGGACACUGCCAGGGAUCCAGGGGCAGCCACAGCUGCUCUGGGAAUUCUGUGCCAGGGCAUCACCACCCUCACAGCCAGGAAUUCCUUCCCAAUAUCCCAUCUAACCCUGAUCUGAGUGAAGUCAUUCCCCCUUGUCCUUUUGUCCUGUCCCUGGGGGGGGGGGGGGGGGGGGGGGGGGGGGGGGGGGGGGGGGGGGGGGGGGGGGGGGGGGGGGGGGGGGGGGCCCAGCUCUCCCAGCCUGGCUCCAGAGGGGCUCCAGCCCUCAAAACAACCCCAUGACUUUCUCUGGACUCAUUCCAGCAGUUCCUUUCUGGAACAUCUUCCUGCUGCUGGAGAUGCCCCUCUGCAGGUGGGGUCUCAGAGGAGGAGAAUCCUCCCCCUCUCCCUGCUGCCCACGCCGUGGGAUCAGCCCAGCACCCAGCUGGGUUUGUUGUGCUCCCAGCUCACAUGGGCUCACAACCCCAAAUCCUCCUCCUGAGUGCUGUUCUCACUCCUCUCUGUGGUGCUGGGAUGGCUUUGAAGGGGCGGAAGGAGCAGGGCCUGCGUGGAGGCCAUGCCGGGCCCGGCGUGUCGGUGCAGGCCGCUGGGGAGGUGCUGCCUUCCCCCGGCUCUGCUCGCCCUGGAUUCACCCUCUUCCUGCCCACGACUGGCUGGGAUUGCUUCACCCCACACUCCAGCCCUGGGGCAAAACCCCCCUUGGCACCCACUCCCUGCUCCCUCUGGUGCCACCCCAGGAACGGGCACAGCCAUGGAUGGAGGGGAUUUGGGUGUGGUCAAGAGCAUCACAUCUCUGCACCCACACUUCCAAAAGGCUCUGCUAAAAAUUUUUGGAGGAGAUGAGGCUCCUCCAGAAAGGACACACAGUGACAGUGCAGUGAUGUGAUGCUCUUGUCCACAUCUCAGGCCAUGCAAAUCCCCCAUCCCUCCAGCCAUGGCCAUGCUCUGCUCACCCUGGAUUUGCUCUUUUCCUGCCCAUGACUGGCUGGGAUUGAUUGACCCCACACACUCCAGCCCUGGGGCAAAACCCCCCUUGGCACUCACUCCCUGCUCCCUCUGGUGCCACCCCAGGAACGGGCACAGCCAUGGGACAAGGCACAGCCAUGGAUGGAGGGAUGAGGAAUUUGGGGGCAUGAUCUGAGAUGUUGUCAACAGCAUCACAUCUCUGCACCCCCACUUCCAAAAGGCUCUGAUAACAUUUUUUGGAGAUGAGGCUCCUCCAGAAGGGACACAACCCUGAUAUUCCCCCUCCACCCCACAGCAGUGACAGUGCAGUGAUGUGAUGCUCUUGUCCACAUCUCAGGCCAUGCAAAUCCCCCAUCCCUCCAGCCAUGGCCAUGCUCUGCUCACCCUGGAUUUGCUCUUUUCCUGCCCAUGACUGGCUGGGAUUGAUUGACCCCACACACUCCAGCCCUGGGGCAAAACCCCCCUUGGCACUCACUCCCUGCUCCCUCUGGUGCCACCCCAGGAACGGGCACAGCCAUGGAUGGAGGGGAUUUGGGUGUGGUCAAGAGCAUCACAUCUCUGCACCCACACUUCCAAAAGGCUCUGCUAAAAAUUUUUGGAGGAGAUGAGGCUCCUCCAGAAAGGACACAACCCCAAUAUUCUCCCUCCACCCCACAGCAGUGACAGCGUGCUCUUGGAGAGACAAGUUCAGUGAUACAAGUCCUACCCUCAGCACAGGCACGAAGGAAAAGGGAGAGAAAAAAAAAAUUCUGCAAUCAGCUUCGGUUUUUUCCCACCCCCAGAGGCUUUUGCAUAGUCUUUUUUUUUUUAAAUUUUAUUUGUUCUCACUCCCUUUUUUCUUUUUUUUUUCUUUUUCAAAAUAUUUUCAACCGACGCGUUACUGAAGUCGUUUGCCUCCUGACAAAACCUGGGCUGCCUGCCAGCACAUAUUUCUGAUAAUUCAUCCAUUAUUAAAUGAAAUCAAAGAUACACAUUUAACAAAAAAAAAAAAGCCAUGGGAGUGUUUGCAUCCAAGAGAGAAGCUGUUCACAGCUGGGCUGGGAGUUUCUUUCACGGCAAAAAGAUCUCCCCAGGGAAAACCCACCCAAAAUCCCUGCCCUGCUCCUCACACUGCAAACAUCUCUGUGCAGCCAUGCUAAGAGCCAGGGAUUCUACAGAGUUUUUCUGCCUGGAUAAAGGAGAUUCCAUCCUGACUUGGGUGGGUGCUGCUGGAUUUUCCCCUUCCUCAGGGAGAGCCUGCAACCCAUGGCCAGAGACAGCCUGACUGGAUCAGCCGGUCCUCUCCAAACCAGAGAGAGAGGAAAAUCUGAUGGAGAGGGAGGGGCCCAGCAAUUACAGACUUUUCUCUUUAAUAACCCUCGCUGCUUCCCCGAGUCCAUAUUUACAUCCUUGGCACCAGAGUAGUAAUUAAAGUCUCUCCACUCAGGUCUAAACAACAGCAGACCCUCCUGUCAUUAAAAUCAGAGGCAAAGCUGGAAAUAAACCUGGUUUUUAUGGCUUUGGAGCCUCAAACCUCUCUCUGUCAGCUGGCUGGGCAGCAGGUUUUAAGGUCACACAUCAGUGCUUUGCUACAACAUCAAUAAGCUGCAUCCAUCUCAAUGGAAUAAUAGGGGUAGAAAACUGUGUGGAAAACUUCUCCAUGCCACUGGUGCCUUCUUGUGCCAUUUUUUGGCCAUUUCCACUGCCCAUAAGGGAAUAAAGGGGCCUCAGGGUCUGCAGCACCAGCUGAAGGACUGAGCUGUGGUCGUGCAAGGAGCUGCUCAAACCCUCUUGCUUUAAAGAAGCUAUCAAAAAAACCUGUGAGAAAAUUAAUUAUUCACUAAGACUGCUAAUUAAGCUGAUUUGCUCUGUGAGGGCAUUGAAGGAAAUGAGCUGGAGAAGUUCUUAAUUGUUUAAAAAAAGCCAUCCUACAAAUGCUCCUCCCAAGCUGCUCUGCUUGCCAAGAGAGCCUGGUCCUGUCUUCCACUGGGUC
Long non-coding RNA from Ficedula albicollis (Collared flycatcher), 5191 nucleotides. The record is from Ensembl. NCBI's taxonomy places the organism in Eukaryota, Metazoa, Chordata, Aves, Passeriformes, Muscicapidae.